GACGAACGCUGGCGGCGUGCCUAAUACAUGCAAGUAGAACGCUGAAGGAGGAGCUUGCUCUUCUGGAUGAGUUGCGAACGGGUGAGUAACGCGUAGGUAACCUGCCUGGUAGCGGGGGAUAACUAUUGGUAACGAUAGCUAAUACCGCAUAACAGUAGAUGUUGCAUGACAUUUACUUAAAAGGUGCAAUUGCAUCACUACCAGAUGGACCCGCGUUGUAUUAGCUAGUUGGUGGGGUAACGGCUCACCAAGGCGACGAUACAUAGCCGACCUGAGAGGGUGAUCGGCCACACUGGGACUGAGACACGGCCCAGACUCCUACGGGAGGCAGCAGUAGGGAAUCUUCGGCAAUGGACGGAAGUCUGACCGAGCAACGCCGCGUGAGUGAAGAAGGUUUUCGGAUCGUAAAGCUCUGUUGUAAGAGAAGAACGAGUGUGAGAGUGGAAAGUUCACACUGUGACGGUAUCUUACCAGAAAGGGACGGCUAACUACGUG
This 495-nucleotide ribosomal RNA is filed under the name uncultured bacterium. RNAcentral describes it as "partial 16S ribosomal RNA". It matches the Rfam family "Bacterial small subunit ribosomal RNA", at positions 28 to 507 of the family's 1533-position model. The record is from RNAcentral.